ACCGGCGGCUCGAGUGGUGGCCACUAUUACUGGGCUUAAAGCGUCCGUAGCUGGAUUGUUAAGUCUCUUGGGAAAUCCAUCGGCUCAACCGAUGGGCGUUCAGGAGAAACUGGCAAUCUAGGGACCGGGAGAGGUGAGUGGUACUCCAGGGGUAGGGGUGAAAUCCGAAGAGCCCUGGAGGAAGACCGGUGGCGAAGGCGUCCCACUGGAACAGCACCGACGGUGAGGUGCGAAAGCGUGGGGAGCAAACAG
This 252-nucleotide ribosomal RNA is filed under the name uncultured prokaryote. RNAcentral's name for it is "partial 16S rRNA". It matches the Rfam family "Archaeal small subunit ribosomal RNA", at positions 475 to 726 of the family's 1478-position model. The record is from RNAcentral.